RNAcentral lists this long non-coding RNA (888 nucleotides) under Coturnix japonica (Japanese quail). Its description in RNAcentral is "lncRNA (ENSCJPG00005020473.1)". Lineage: Eukaryota; Metazoa; Chordata; Aves; Galliformes; Phasianidae. The record is from RNAcentral.
UUCUGGUGAAAAUUGUCUUGAGCAUUGUCUUGAGUCAGAAGUGUUCUUUGAUGUUUGCAUGCUUAUAAUGAGGAACAGGUCACUUGCUAAGUGUGUAAACUCUCAAGGCUUAUAAGAAGAGGAGUAGCUAAGUUCCUAUUAAUCUUCUAUUUAAGGAAGAUAUUUUAACUGAUGUGUAGGAAGUCAAACUUCACUAAUAUGGCUAUCUGCAGGUUGAUUAAUUUUGGCCAGGAAUUAGAAGUGUCCUUGUGGUUCUGAUUUGCGAUAUCUUCACUGUCCUCCUCAGCCAGAGCAAGAAGAGAUUUCUGUGUACCUUCAUUCAACUCUCGUAGAAAAGUAAGAGGAAGUACUCGAACCUCACAAUGUCUGAGAGCAGAUUUUGGCACCAUCUUCCACUUGUGGCCUCGUUCUCAUAAGAUUAAAGCCUUGCAGUCCAGCGGCGUUUGAGUGACCUGUACAACUUGAGGAGCUCUGAGUACACCAGCUUCUGGAUUUUACCCAAAGAAGAGCUCAGAGGAAACCCAGAGAGGUUUUUGUUAUUGUCAUCAAAUGGACUUGAAAGAAAACAAUUCACUGUGUUUUGAGACAAAACAAACACUUCUUAUUUUUCUUCCUUGAAGGUUGUUCAGAAAGGGGUAUGCGUUGAUCCGACUGACUAGAGCUUUCCCUACAUCUUUAGAGAAGCUGCUUUAAGCAUUGAGGGGCCUCUAUUUUUUUUUCUCCCCAUUUAAAAAUCCAUUCUUUGAAGUGUCAGCAGGUGUUUAAAUUGCAGCCUUUCCAUAAGGAGAACCAUCCUUUGCUGGCCUUGAUUUAUCUGUAGGUUAUUUAUUUAUUCCACAUUGGCAAGGCAAAAAUAAAUAGACUAUCUGAUAGUGGGCUGUUGUAGUU